CCUACGGGAUGCAGCAGUGGGGAAUAUUGCACAAUGGGGGCAACCCUGAUGCAGCGACGCCGCGUGCGUGAGGAAGUACCUCGGUAUGUUAAGCUCCUUUAGCACGGAAGAAAAUGACGGUACCUGACUCAGAAGCCCCGUCUAACUACGUGCCAGCAGCCGCGGUACUACGUAGGGGGCGAGAGUUAUCCGGAUUUACUGGGCGUAAAGGGAGCGUAGACGGAAUGGCAAGUCUGAUGUGAAAAUCCGAGGCCCAACCCCGGAACUGCAUGGGAAACUGUAUGUCUAGAGUGUCGGAGAGGCAAGUGGAAUUCCUGGUGUAGCGGUGAAAUGCGUAGAUAUCAGGAGGAACACCAGUGGCGAAGGUGGCUUGCUGGACGAUGACUGACGUUGAGGCUCGAAAGCGUGGGGAGCAAACAGGAUUAGAUACCCUAGUAGUC
This 440-nucleotide ribosomal RNA is filed under the name uncultured bacterium. Its description in RNAcentral is "partial 16S ribosomal RNA". It matches the Rfam family "Bacterial small subunit ribosomal RNA", at positions 338 to 795 of the family's 1533-position model. The record is from RNAcentral.